GGUUGGUAUGAGUGCAAUGAUGCUUACAACUAAUUGGUUACAACCAGCUACAGAUUUCUUUGUUCCUUCUCCAUUGCUUCCCUUAACUAGCCACAC
RNAcentral lists this Y RNA (96 nucleotides) under Carlito syrichta (Philippine tarsier). Its description in RNAcentral is "Y RNA (ENSTSYG00000026725.1)". It matches the Rfam family "Y RNA". Rfam says of the family: Y RNAs are components of the Ro ribonucleoprotein particle (Ro RNP), in association with Ro60 and La proteins. The Y RNAs and Ro60 and La proteins are well conserved, but the function of the Ro RNP is not known. The record is from Rfam by way of RNAcentral. Lineage: Eukaryota; Metazoa; Chordata; Mammalia; Primates; Tarsiidae.